RNAcentral lists this ribosomal RNA (253 nucleotides) under uncultured bacterium. Its description in RNAcentral is "partial 16S ribosomal RNA". It matches the Rfam family "Bacterial small subunit ribosomal RNA", at positions 524 to 776 of the family's 1533-position model. The record is from RNAcentral.
GACGGAGGAUGCAAGCGUUAUCCGGAAUGAUUGGGCGUAAAGCGUCCGCAGGUGGCAGUUCAAGUCUGCUGUCAAAGACCGGGGCUUAACUUCGGAAAGGCAGUGGAAACUGAACAGCUAGAGUAUGGUAGGGGCAGAGGGAAUUCCUGGUGUAGCGGUGAAAUGCGUAGAGAUCAGGAAGAACACCGGUGGCGAAAGCGCUCUGCUAGGCCGCAACUGACACUCAUGGACGAAAGCUAGGGGAGCGAAUGGG